This 602-nucleotide ribosomal RNA is filed under the name uncultured Bacteroidales bacterium. RNAcentral's name for it is "bacterial SSU rRNA". It matches the Rfam family "Bacterial small subunit ribosomal RNA", at positions 120 to 722 of the family's 1533-position model. Lineage: Bacteria; Pseudomonadati; Bacteroidota; Bacteroidia; Bacteroidales. The record is from RNAcentral.
UGCAACCUGCCCGAUACCGGGGUAUAGCCCAUGGAAACGUGGAUUAACGCCCCAUAGUACUUUUAUCCUGCAUGGGAUAGGAGUUAAAUGUUCAAGGUAUCGGAUGGGCAUGCGUCCUAUUAGUUAGUUGGCGGGGUAACAGCCCACCAAGACGAUGAUAGGUAGGGGUUCUGAGAGGAAGGUCCCCCACAUUGGAACUGAGACACGGUCCAAACUCCUACGGGAGGCAGCAGUGAGGAAUAUUGGUCAAUGGACGAGAGUCUGAACCAGCCAAGUCGCGUGAGGGAAGACUGCCCUAUGGGUUGUAAACCUCUUUUAUAAGGGAAGAAUAAGUUCUACGUGUAGAAUGAUGCCUGUACCUUAUGAAUAAGCAUCGGCUAACUCCGUGCCAGCAGCCGCGGUAAUACGGAGGAUGCGAGCGUUAUCCGGAUUUAUUGGGUUUAAAGGGUGCGUAGGCGGUUUAUUAAGUUAGUGGUUAAAUAUUUGAGCUAAACUCAAUUGUGCCAUUAAUACUGGUAAACUGGAGUACAGACGAGGUAGGCGGAAUAAGUUAAGUAGCGGUGAAAUGCAUAGAUAUAACUUAGAACUCCGAUAGCGAAGGC